AGCGAACGCUGGCGGCAGGCUUAACACAUGCAAGUCGAGCGGGCGCAGCAAUGCGUCAGCGGCAGACGGGUGAGUAACGCGUGGGAACGUACCUUUUGGUUCGGAACAACACAGGGAAACUUGUGCUAAUACCGGAUAAGCCCUUACGGGGAAAGAUUUAUCGCCGAAAGAUCGGCCCGCGUCUGAUUAGCUAGUUGGUAGGGUAAUGGCCUACCAAGGCGACGAUCGGUAGCUGGUCGAGAGGAUGAUCAGCCACAUUGGGACUGAGACACGGCCCAAACUCCUACGGGAGGCAGCAGUGGGGAAUAUUGGACAAUGGGCGCAAGCCUGAUCCAGCAAUGCCGCGUGAGUGAUGAAGGCCUUAGGGUUGUAAAGCUCUUUUACCCGGGAUGAUAAUGAC
This 400-nucleotide ribosomal RNA is filed under the name uncultured bacterium. RNAcentral describes it as "bacterial SSU rRNA". It matches the Rfam family "Bacterial small subunit ribosomal RNA", at positions 29 to 455 of the family's 1533-position model. The record is from RNAcentral.